Schistosoma mattheei is the source of this 48-nucleotide non-coding RNA. NCBI's taxonomy places the organism in Eukaryota, Metazoa, Platyhelminthes, Trematoda, Strigeidida, Schistosomatidae. The record is from Rfam.
AUCCAGCUGACGAGUCCCAAACAGGACGAAAUGCACGUCAAACUGGAU